Molecule: ribosomal RNA, 414 nt
Filed under: uncultured bacterium
Lineage: Bacteria
Description: bacterial SSU rRNA
Rfam family: Bacterial small subunit ribosomal RNA
Source: RNAcentral
AGAGUUUGAUCCUGGCUCAGAGCGAACGCUGGCGGCAGGCUUAACACAUGCAAGUCGAGCGCCUGUAGCAAUACAGGAGCGGCAGACGGGAGAGUAACACGUGGGAACGUACCCUUCAGUUCGGAACAACCAAGGGAAACUUUGGCUAAUACCGAAUACGUCCGUAAGGAGAAAGAUUUAUCGCUGAAGGAUCGGCCCGCGUCUGAUUAGCUAGUUGGUGAGGUAACGGCUCACCAAGGCGACGAUCAGUAGCUGGUCUGGGAGGAUGAUCAGCCUCAUUGGGACUGAGACACGGCCCAAACUCCUACGGGAGGCAGCAGUGGGGAAUAUUGGACAAUGGGCGCAAGCCUGAUCCAGCCAUGCCGCGUGGAUGAUGAAGGCCUUAGGGUUGUAAAAUCCUUUCGGCGGGGAAGA